UCCGUCCGAUGCGAGCGCCACCGCUGAUCGCAUCCCGCCUCGCGCUGCCAAUUUUUAUGAGUAUCCGUUAUUCGUCUAGCAUCCUCAGCCUAGGCCUAGCGAGGUGGUCGCCCAUUAUGGGAUGUGUAUGGGGGCCUGGGGCAUCGUAUCGCCGCGCCCCGCGGUUCUUGUACCGGACUGUGCCUGCAAGCUACCUCGUAGCGGGCGGGCGGACGGACGGUCUGGAUCUGGAUGUGACUAGCGGUGGCCCUCGCAUCGGACGGU
Marchantia polymorpha subsp. ruderalis is the source of this 264-nucleotide non-coding RNA. The record is from the annotation of a GenBank genome assembly. NCBI's taxonomy places the organism in Eukaryota, Viridiplantae, Streptophyta, Marchantiopsida, Marchantiales, Marchantiaceae.